Molecule: ribosomal RNA, 477 nt
Filed under: uncultured bacterium
Lineage: Bacteria
Description: partial 16S ribosomal RNA
Rfam family: Bacterial small subunit ribosomal RNA
Source: RNAcentral
GAUGAACGCUGGCGGCGUGCCUAAUACAUGCAAGUCGAGCGAACAGAUGAGGAGCUUGCUCCUCUGACGUUAGCGGCGGACGGGUGAGUAACACGUGGAUAACCUACCUAUAAGACUGGGAUAACUUCGGGAAACCGGAGCUAAUACCGGAUAAUAUAUUGAACCGCAUGGUUCAAUAGUGAAAGACGGUUUUGCUGUCACUUAUAGAUGGAUCCGCGCCGCAUUAGCUAGUUGGUAAGGUAACGGCUUACCAAGGCAACGAUGCGUAGCCGACCUGAGAGGGUGAUCGGCCACACUGGAACUGAGACACGGUCCAGACUCCUACGGGAGGCAGCAGUAGGGAAUCUUCCGCAAUGGGCGAAAGCCUGACGGAGCAACGCCGCGUGCGGGAUGACGGCCUUCGGGUUGUAAACCGCUUUCGCCUGUGACGAAGCGUGAGUGACGGUAAUGGGUAAAGAAGCACCGGCUAACUACGUG